GGGGAAUAUUGGGCAAUGGGGGAAACCCUGACCCAGCAACGCCGCGUGAAGGAAGAAGGCUUUCGGGUUGUAAACUUCUUUUACCAGGGACGAAGGACGUGACGGUACCUGGAGAAAAAGCCACGGCUAACUACGUGCCAGCAGCCGCGGUAAUACGUAGGCGGCAAGCGUUGUCCGGAUUUACUGGGUGUAAAGGGCGUGUAGGCGGAGAAGCAAGUCAGAAGUGAAAUCCAUGGGCUUAACCCAUGAACUGCUUUUGAAACUGUUUCCCUUGAGUAUCGGAGAGGCAGGCGGAAUUCCUAGUGUAGCGGUGAAAUGCGUAGAUAUUAGGAGGAACACCAGUGGCGAAGGCGGCCUGCUGGACGACAACUGACGCUGAGGCGCGAAAGCGUGGGGAGCAAAC
RNAcentral lists this ribosomal RNA (403 nucleotides) under uncultured bacterium. RNAcentral describes it as "bacterial SSU rRNA". It matches the Rfam family "Bacterial small subunit ribosomal RNA", at positions 356 to 773 of the family's 1533-position model. The record is from RNAcentral.